This 237-nucleotide ribosomal RNA is filed under the name uncultured bacterium. Its description in RNAcentral is "partial 16S ribosomal RNA". It matches the Rfam family "Bacterial small subunit ribosomal RNA", at positions 99 to 334 of the family's 1533-position model. The record is from RNAcentral.
CGCACGGGUGAGUAACGCGUAUACAAUUUACCUUAUACAGGAGGAUAGCCUUUAGAAAUGAAGAUUAAUACUCCAUGGCAUUAUGAUAUGGCAAAUCAUAUUAUAAUUAAAGAUUUAUCGGUAUAAGAUGAGUAUGCGUCCUAUUAGUUAGUUGGUAAGGUAAUGGCUUACCAAGACUUCGAUAGGUAGGGGUCCUGAGAGGGAGACCCCCCACACUGGUACUGAGACACGGACCAG